GCAUAUMARUAAGCGGAGGAAAAGAAACUAAAUAGGAUUCCCUUAGUAAUGGCGAAUGAACAGGGACAAGCUCGGCAUGGAAAUUGGGGCCUCUGGCCUUGAAUUGUAGCCUCGAGAAGUGUCUCCAACAGAGGCGCAGAUGUAAGCCUCUUGGAAAAGAGCAUCAUUGUGGGUGAGAAUCCUGUGUGUCAUCUGCAGCCCUUUGUGUACGGUAUGCUUUCUCAGAGUCACGUUCCUCGGAAUUGGAGCGCAAAGUGGGUGGUAAAUUUCAUCUAAAGCUAAAUAAUGGCUUGAGACCGAUAGCAAACAAGUACCAUGAGGGAAAGGUGAAAAGGACUUUGAAAAGAGAGUUAAAAGUGCCUGAAAUUGCUGAAAGGGAAGCGAAUGGAACCAGUCAUCUUGGCAAGACUGCUUCAUGUCAGUGUGAUGGCUUGCUGUCGCAACGCAAGUGCGGCAGCUGGCUUUGAGCAUGACCUGUGGAGUGUUUCUUGCCUGGUGUGUCAGCAUCUGUCCAUGCUUGACGAAGACUCCAAGGACAUGGUAGCUUGCCUGUGGGUGGGUGAAUGUGCUUGGUAGGACCCAAGUUUGGAUUGAGAGCUGCAUAUUUUGAGCUGCAUGCUUUGCGCUUGUCGUUUGGCACCUCCUGAUUUGCAAUGCUGACUAAAUGGUUCUCUUCRACCCGUCUUGAAAC
Molecule: ribosomal RNA, 691 nt
Filed under: Borghiella sp.
Lineage: Eukaryota; Dinophyceae; Suessiales; Borghiellaceae
Description: partial large subunit ribosomal RNA
Source: RNAcentral